GUGCCAGCCGCCGCGGUAAUACGUGAGGGGCAAACGUUGUUCGGUGUCACUGGGCUUAAAGGGUGCGUAGGUGGUUGCGUAAGUAACGUGUGAAAUCCCCCGGCUUACCCGGGGAAUUGCGCGUUAUACUGCGUAACUUGAGGACUGUAGGGGAAUGGGGAACUCCAGGUGUAGCGGUGAAAUGCGCAGAUAUCUGGGGGAAGGCCGGCGGCGAAGGCGCCAUUCUGGGCAGUUCCUGACACUGAGGCACGAAAGCGUGGGGAGCAAACAGGAUUAGAUACCCCCGUAGUCC
RNAcentral lists this ribosomal RNA (292 nucleotides) under uncultured bacterium. RNAcentral describes it as "partial 16S ribosomal RNA". It matches the Rfam family "Bacterial small subunit ribosomal RNA", at positions 505 to 796 of the family's 1533-position model. The record is from RNAcentral.